UGCAGUCGAGCGGAAGGCCACUUCGGUGGUACUCGAGCGGCGAACGGGUGAGUAACACGUGAGUAAUCUGCCCUUGGCUUCGGGAUAGCCACCGGAAACGGUGAUUAAUACCGGAUAUGACUCCUUCGUGCAUGCGGGGGGGUGGAAAGUUUUUCGGCCAGGGAUGUGCUCGCGGCCUAUCAGCUUGAUGGUGAGGUAAUGGCUCACCAUGGCUUCGACGGGUAGCCGGCCUGAGAGGGUGACCGGUCACACUGGGACUGAGACACGGCCCAGACUCCUACGGGAGGCAGCAGUGGGGAAUAUUGGACAAUGGGCGGAAGCCUGAUCCAGCAACGCCGCGUGAGGGAUGACGGCCUUCGGGUUGUAAACCUCUUUCAGUACCGACGAAGCGCAAGUGACGGUAGGUACAGAAGAAGCACCGGCCAACUACGUGCCAGCAGCCGCGGUAAUACGUAGGGUGCGAGCGUUGUCCGGAAUUAUUGGGCGUAAAGGGCUCGUAGGCGGUUUGUCGCGUCGGGAGUGAAAACCAGGUGCUUAACACCUGGCUUGCUUUCGAUACGGGCAGACUAGAGGUAUUCAGGGGAGAACGGAAUUCCUGGUGUAGCGGUGAAAUGCGCAGAUAUCAGGAGGAACACCGGUGGCGAAGGCGGUUCUCUGGGAAUAUCCUGACGCUGAGGAGCGAAAGUGUGGGGAGCGAACAGGAUUAGAUACCC
Molecule: ribosomal RNA, 713 nt
Filed under: bacterium SCSIO13311
Lineage: Bacteria
Description: bacterial SSU rRNA
Rfam family: Bacterial small subunit ribosomal RNA
Source: RNAcentral